RNAcentral lists this ribosomal RNA (547 nucleotides) under uncultured bacterium. RNAcentral's name for it is "bacterial SSU rRNA". It matches the Rfam family "Bacterial small subunit ribosomal RNA", at positions 28 to 621 of the family's 1533-position model. The record is from RNAcentral.
AACGAACGCUGGCGGCAUGCCUAACACAUGCAAGUCGAACGAAGCCUUCGGGCUUAGUGGCGCACGGGUGCGUAACACGUGGGAAUCUGCCCUUCGGUUCGGAAUAACAGUUAGAAAUGACUGCUAAUACCGGAUGAUGACGAAAGUCCAAAGAUUUAUCGCCGAAGGAUGAGCCCGCGUAGGAUUAGGUAGUUGGUAGGGUAAUGGCCUACCAAGCCGACGAUCCUUAGCUGGUCUGAGAGGAUGAUCAGCCACACUGGGACUGAGACACGGCCCAGACUCCUACGGGAGGCAGCAGUGGGGAAUAUUGGACAAUGGGCGAAAGCCUGAUCCAGCAAUGCCGCGUGAGUGAUGAAGGCCUUAGGGUUGUAAAGCUCUUUUACCAGGGAUGAUAAUGACAGUACCUGGAGAAUAAGCUCCGGCUAACUCCGUGCCAGCAGCCGCGGUAAUACGGAGGGAGCUAGCGUUGUUCGGAAUUACUGGGCGUAAAGCGCACGUAGGCGGUUACUCAAGUCAGAGGUGGAAGCCCGGGGCUCAACCCCGGAAC